RNAcentral lists this small nucleolar RNA (106 nucleotides) under Olea europaea subsp. europaea. Its description in RNAcentral is "Plant small nucleolar RNA R71". It matches the Rfam family "Plant small nucleolar RNA R71". Rfam says of the family: R71 is a member of the C/D box family of snoRNAs containing the C (UGAUGA) and D (CUGA) box motifs. Multiple nearly identical copies of this snoRNA have been identified in Arabidopsis, and it is thought to function as a 2'-O-ribose methylation guide for 18S ribosomal RNA. The record is from Rfam by way of RNAcentral. Lineage: Eukaryota; Viridiplantae; Streptophyta; Magnoliopsida; Lamiales; Oleaceae.
ACAUCAAGAUUUGGACAUUUCCUAAACACACUUUUGAACUUGUCCCAUGCUUCCGGAUAUGUCUCAUGAUCCUUCUAUCUGAAAAGAUAUACUUCGUUUCUGAUUU